GGACAUGAGGGCACGUGGCUGCAGCCUGUCACCCCACUGAUCACCAGGGCUGAUGUGGCUGAUCUGGGUGGCUGGGUGGGGCGGGGUGUCCCCCUUCCUCCUUCCCCCACUCUACAUGCCUCCCUGUGGAAGCUGCACACUCAGCCGAAGAGGGCAAUCACUCCAUAGAAGAGGCUGGUUUCCUUGGUCAAGGGCACAUGAGUAGUUGUGCUCCCUGUUAGAACCUCCAAACAAGCACCCAAAGGGCCGGAGAGAUGGCUCAGGGUAAAACACUUGCCUAACAUGUGGGAAGCUCUGGGU
This 300-nucleotide small nuclear RNA is filed under the name Heterocephalus glaber (naked mole-rat). Its description in RNAcentral is "7SK RNA". It matches the Rfam family "7SK RNA". Rfam says of the family: 7SK was discovered as an abundant small nuclear RNA in the mid-70s but a possible function has only recently been suggested. Two independent studies have found that 7SK RNA binds the CDK9/cyclin T complex (known as elongation factor P-TEFb). Lineage: Eukaryota; Metazoa; Chordata; Mammalia; Rodentia; Bathyergidae. The record is from Rfam by way of RNAcentral.